RNAcentral lists this ribosomal RNA (253 nucleotides) under uncultured bacterium. RNAcentral's name for it is "partial 16S ribosomal RNA". It matches the Rfam family "Bacterial small subunit ribosomal RNA", at positions 524 to 776 of the family's 1533-position model. The record is from RNAcentral.
UACGUAGGGGGCAAGCGUUGUCCGGAUUUAUUGGGCGUAAAGCGCUCGCAGGUGGUACGUUGCGUCGUGCGUGAAAGACCCCGGCUCAACUGGGGAGGGUCGUGCGAUACGGGCGGACUGGAGGCCAGUAGGGGGAUGCGGAAUUCCGGGUGUAGUGGUGGAAUGCGUAGAGAUCCGGAGGAACACCAGCGGCGAAGGCGGCAUCCUGGACUGGUCCUGACACUCAGGAGCGAAAGCGUGGGGAGCGAUCCGG